CACUAGAAAGCUAAAGAGGUUAGCGUUAGCCUUUUAAGCUAAAUAGUGGUGAUUCCCGACCACCUCUAGUGA
Molecule: transfer RNA, 72 nt
Filed under: Electrophorus electricus (electric eel)
Lineage: Eukaryota; Metazoa; Chordata; Actinopteri; Gymnotiformes; Gymnotidae
Description: tRNA-Lys
Rfam family: tRNA
About the family: Transfer RNA (tRNA) molecules are approximately 80 nucleotides in length.
Source: RNAcentral